ACAUAUCAAUAAGCGGAGGAAAAGAAACCAACAGGGAUUGCCCCAGUAACGGCGAGUGAAGCGGCAACAGCUCAAAUUUGAAAUCUGGCCCCCGGGUCCGAGUUGUAAUUUGUAGAGGAUGCUUUUGGCGAGGUGCCUUCCGAGUUCCCUGGAACGGGACGCCAUAGAGGGUGAGAGCCCCGUCUGGUCGGACACCGAGCCUCUGUAAAGCUCCUUCGACGAGUCGAGUAGUUUGGGAAUGCUGCUCAAAAUGGGAGGUAUAUGUCUUCUAAAGCUAAAUAUUGGCCAGAGACCGAUAGCGCACAAGUAGAGUGAUCGAAAGAUGAAAAGCACUUUGAAAAGAGGGUUAAAAAGUACGUGAAAUUGUUGAAAGGGAAGCGCCUAUGACCAGACUUGGGCCCGGUGAAUCAUCCAGCGUUCUCGCUGGUGCACUUUGCCGGGCACAGGCCAGCAUCAGUUUGGCGCGGGGGAGAAAGGCUCUGGGAAUGUGGCUCCUCCGGGAGUGUUAUAGCCCACUGCGUAAUACCCUGCGCCGGACUGAGGUACGCGCAUUGCAAGGAUGCUGGCGUAAUGGUCAUCAGCGACCCGUCUUGAAACACGGACCAAGGAGUCGUCUUCGUAUGCGAGUGUUCGGGUGUCAAACCCCUACGCGUAAUGAAAGUGAACGCAGGUGAGAGCUUCGGCGCAUCAUCGACCGAUCCUGAUGUUCUCGGAUGGAUUUGAGUAAGAGCAUACGGGGCCGGACCCGAAAGAAGGUGAACUAUGCCUGUAUAGGGUGAAGCCAGAGGAAACUCUGGUGGAGGCUCGCAGCGGUUCUGACGUGCGAAUCGAUCGUCAAAUAUGGGCAUGGGGGCGAAAGACUAAUCGAACCUUCUAGUAGCUGGUUUCCGC
This 891-nucleotide ribosomal RNA is filed under the name Akanthomyces dipterigenus. Its description in RNAcentral is "partial large subunit ribosomal RNA". It matches the Rfam family "Eukaryotic large subunit ribosomal RNA", at positions 38 to 961 of the family's 3401-position model. Lineage: Eukaryota; Fungi; Ascomycota; Sordariomycetes; Hypocreales; Cordycipitaceae. The record is from RNAcentral.